Molecule: unclassified non-coding RNA, 207 nt
Filed under: Homo sapiens (human)
Lineage: Eukaryota; Metazoa; Chordata; Mammalia; Primates; Hominidae
Description: small integral membrane protein 10 like 1 (ENSG00000281930.1)
Source: RNAcentral
AUGGCCCCCGCGGCGGCUCCGUCCUCCUUGGCCGUCAGGGCCUCAAGCCCCGCCGCGACACCCACCUCGUACGGCGUCUUCUGCAAGGGGCUCUCCCGCACCCUGCUCGCCUUCUUCGAGCUGGCCUGGCAGCUGCGCAUGAACUUCCCGUACUUCUACGUCGCGGGCUCGGUGAUCCUCAACAUCCGAUUGCAGGUACAUAUUUAG